This 253-nucleotide ribosomal RNA is filed under the name uncultured bacterium. RNAcentral's name for it is "partial 16S ribosomal RNA". It matches the Rfam family "Bacterial small subunit ribosomal RNA", at positions 524 to 776 of the family's 1533-position model. The record is from RNAcentral.
GACGUAGGGCGCGAGCGUUGUCCGGAUUUAUUGGGCGUAAAGAGCUCGUAGGCGGGUUGUCGCGUCGUCUGUGAAAACCCACGGCUCAACUGUGGGCUUGCAGUCGAUACGGGCAGGCUAGAGUUCGGUAGGGGAGACUGGAAUUCCUGGUGUAGCGGUGAAAUGCGCAGAUAUCAGGAGGAACACCGGUGGCGAAGGCGGGUCUCUGGGCCGAUACUGACGCUGAGGAGCGAAAGCGUGGGGAGCGAACGGG